GGUAAAUCUAGCUCAACUGGUAGAGCACUGAUCUGUGGAUUCAGUGGAUUUGGUUCAAGUCCAAAGUUUUACC
RNAcentral lists this transfer RNA (73 nucleotides) under Malassezia yamatoensis. RNAcentral's name for it is "tRNA-His". It matches the Rfam family "tRNA". Rfam says of the family: Transfer RNA (tRNA) molecules are approximately 80 nucleotides in length. Their secondary structure includes four short double-helical elements and three loops (D, anti-codon, and T loops). Further hydrogen bonds mediate the characteristic L-shaped molecular structure. tRNAs have two regions of fundamental functional importance: the anti-codon, which is responsible for specific mRNA codon recognition, and the 3' end, to which the tRNAs corresponding amino acid is attached (by aminoacyl-tRNA synthetases). tRNAs cope with the degeneracy of the genetic code in two manners: having more than one tRNA (with a specific anti-codon) for a particular amino acid; and 'wobble' base-pairing, i.e. permitting non-standard base-pairing at the 3rd anti-codon position. Lineage: Eukaryota; Fungi; Basidiomycota; Malasseziomycetes; Malasseziales; Malasseziaceae. The record is from RNAcentral.